Molecule: long non-coding RNA, 518 nt
Organism: Arabidopsis thaliana (thale cress)
Lineage: Eukaryota; Viridiplantae; Streptophyta; Magnoliopsida; Brassicales; Brassicaceae
Product: other RNA
Exons: 1
Source: RefSeq
UAAGGCUAUUCGAGAGGAUGAUUCAAAAAUAGAAUCUUAGAACACAGAAUCGGAUUAUCUCACCUUGAUCGUUGCGAGCAGUGAAGAGGAUGCAAGCAGUCUCAUCUCCAACAAGACACUCAGAGAUCCUAGCAGGUCGGAGAUGAGAAGAAGAAGCAGCUCCCGGUUUCUGAGGUACGGAAUUCUGAUCGACGACUUUAACAGUCAAAGUGUGGCCGCUCGUUCCAGGUUUAAGCUGAUCCACUUUGACAAACACCGGUUUCUUCUUCUCCUGCGGCGUAUGCUGUGGUGGCUGAUUCUGAGAAGUUCGCGUUGACGAAGACGGAGGCGGCGGAUUUCUUCCCUGUCGCCGCGGAGGAGGUGGUCCGUUUCUUUGCCGUGGUCUAUGCUGGAAAUUGUCGUUGCUGGUGUUUGACGCCAUUGGGACUGAAGAAAAUCUCGAAACGAACAAAAUCUCUCUAUGUGAACUCUUCUUCUUCGAUCUCUAGAAGAAAGCCCUAGAUUUAUGAGUCUUUUUU